GUGCCCGUAGCUCAAGUGGAUAGAGCGUAGGAUUGCGGAUCCUGAGGUUAGGGGUUCAAGUCCCCUCGGGCACG
This 74-nucleotide transfer RNA is filed under the name Bacillota bacterium. RNAcentral describes it as "Firmicutes bacterium (hot springs metagenome) tRNA-Arg". It matches the Rfam family "tRNA". Rfam says of the family: Transfer RNA (tRNA) molecules are approximately 80 nucleotides in length. Their secondary structure includes four short double-helical elements and three loops (D, anti-codon, and T loops). RNAcentral also lists the same sequence under 1 other name. Lineage: Bacteria; Bacillati; Bacillota. The record is from RNAcentral.